AAUUCAAUGCCUGAGCUAGUUGCGGAACCUACUUCAGCACGGUCAAUGUCAUUUGUUGGGACUCAUGAAUAUUUGGCCCCCGAGAUUAUCAAGGGAGAAGGCCAUGGCAGUGCAGUUGACUGGUGGACAUUUGGUAUUUUCCUUCAUGAACUACUCUAUGGAAAGACCCCUUUCAAGGGAUCAGGAAACAGGGCAACUCUUUUCAAUGUAGUUGGCCAACAACUUAAAUUUCCAGAUUCUCCUGCAACCAGUUAUGCCAGCCGUGAUCUGAUACGUGGCUUGCUUGUUAAAGAGCCUCAAAACCGGCUUGGGGUG
Molecule: unclassified non-coding RNA, 315 nt
Filed under: Hevea brasiliensis (rubber tree)
Lineage: Eukaryota; Viridiplantae; Streptophyta; Magnoliopsida; Malpighiales; Euphorbiaceae
Source: RNAcentral